RNAcentral lists this ribosomal RNA (272 nucleotides) under uncultured Streptococcus sp. Its description in RNAcentral is "partial 16S ribosomal RNA". It matches the Rfam family "Bacterial small subunit ribosomal RNA", at positions 1106 to 1382 of the family's 1533-position model. The record is from RNAcentral. Lineage: Bacteria; Bacillati; Bacillota; Bacilli; Lactobacillales; Streptococcaceae.
GUCUAUUAGUUGCCAUCAUUCAGUUGGGCACUCUAGCGAGACUGCCGGUAAUAACCGGAGGAAGUGGGAUGACGUCAAAUCAUCAUGCCCCUUAUGACCUGGGCUACACACGUGCUACAAUGGUUGGUACAACGAGUUGCGAGUCGGUGACGGCGAGCUAAUCUCUUAAAGCCAAUCUCAGUUCGGAUUGUAGGCUGCAACUCGCCUACAUGAAGUCGGAAUCGCUAGUAAUCGCGGAUCAGCACGCCGCGGUGAAUACGUUCCCGGGCCUU